Molecule: unclassified non-coding RNA, 418 nt
Filed under: soil metagenome
Description: partial contains 5.8S ribosomal RNA, internal transcribed spacer 2, and large subunit ribosomal RNA
Rfam family: 5.8S ribosomal RNA (bases 1-120)
Source: RNAcentral
GAUGAAGAACGCAGCGAAAUGCGAUAAGUAAUGUGAAUUGCAGAAUUCAGUGAAUCAUCGAAUCUUUGAACGCAUCUUGCGCUCCUUGGUAUUCCUUGGAGCAUGCCUGUUUGAGUAUCAUGAGCAAAUCUCAAAGUCAAUUCCUUUUGUUGAUUCAAUUGGUUUUGCUUUGGACUUGGAGGCCUUGCAGAUUUCACAGUCUGCUCCUCUUAAAUGCAUUAGCUGGAUCUCAGUAAUUAUGCUUGGUUCCACUCGGCGUGAUAAGUAUCACUCGCUGAGGACACUGUUAAAAAGGUGGCCAGGAAAAUACUGAUUGAACCGCUUCUAACGGUCUAUUAAGUUAGACAAUUACCCUUAAGUUUGAUCUCAUAUCAGGUAGGACUACCCGCUGAACUUAAGCAUAUCAAUAAGCGGAGGA